This 422-nucleotide ribosomal RNA is filed under the name uncultured bacterium. RNAcentral describes it as "bacterial SSU rRNA". It matches the Rfam family "Bacterial small subunit ribosomal RNA", at positions 917 to 1341 of the family's 1533-position model. The record is from RNAcentral.
GGGCCCGCACAAGCGGUGGAGCAUGUGGUUUAAUUCGAUGAUACGCGAGGAACCUUACCAGGGCUUAAAUGUAGUGGGACAGGUCUAGAGAUAGACCCUUCUUCGGACUCAUUACAAGGUGCUGCAUGGUUGUCGUCAGCUCGUGCCGUGAGGUGUCAGGUUAAGUCCUAUAACGAGCGCAACCCCUAUCGUUAGUUGCCAGCGAGUAAUGUCGGGAACUCUAACGAAACUGCCAGUGCAAACUGUGAGGAAGGUGGGGAUGACGUCAAAUCAUCACGGCCCUUACGUCCUGGGCUACACACGUGCUACAAUGGCCGGUACAGAGAGCAGCCACUUCGCAAGAAGGAGCGAAUCUAUUAAAACCGGUCUCAGUUCGGAUUGUUGUCUGCAACUCGACAACAUGAAGUCGGAAUCGCUAGUAA